RNAcentral lists this unclassified non-coding RNA (247 nucleotides) under Hevea brasiliensis (rubber tree). Lineage: Eukaryota; Viridiplantae; Streptophyta; Magnoliopsida; Malpighiales; Euphorbiaceae. The record is from RNAcentral.
UCCCUGUAUGUCGAUCCCCGUUUCGUCGCCCCAUCUUCCGUUAUUCGGGGAUGCGUUUCAGAAGUCCUCGGGCCUUGAGAAACUUCAAUGCGCCUCUGAACUCGGCUCUGAUGUUCGAGAUCGUGAUGUUUGACACUGGGGCUGCGUGACUGCGUUUCAAUUCUUUCGCAAUGUCGUCGGGGCGCAGUGUUGGGUCAUCCAGUACUAACUCCCUAAUGCGGUCUUUGAUAGCGGUCGCGGACUUCUC